GGCGAGUUGAGCGGAACGGUAUCGCACCCGCCCCGAAAGCGGGCUGGCCCUCUGCCCCGAGGGUCUGGGAGUUCAAGUCUCCCACUCGCCGCCA
This 94-nucleotide transfer RNA is filed under the name Acidobacteriota bacterium. Its description in RNAcentral is "Acidobacteria bacterium (groundwater metagenome) tRNA-Ser". It matches the Rfam family "tRNA". Rfam says of the family: Transfer RNA (tRNA) molecules are approximately 80 nucleotides in length. Their secondary structure includes four short double-helical elements and three loops (D, anti-codon, and T loops). Further hydrogen bonds mediate the characteristic L-shaped molecular structure. tRNAs have two regions of fundamental functional importance: the anti-codon, which is responsible for specific mRNA codon recognition, and the 3' end, to which the tRNAs corresponding amino acid is attached (by aminoacyl-tRNA synthetases). tRNAs cope with the degeneracy of the genetic code in two manners: having more than one tRNA (with a specific anti-codon) for a particular amino acid; and 'wobble' base-pairing, i.e. permitting non-standard base-pairing at the 3rd anti-codon position. The record is from RNAcentral. Lineage: Bacteria; Pseudomonadati; Acidobacteriota.